UUGCAGCUUAUUAAGCCGACUAGUUUUGCUGCCGUGUGUUUCUAGUGUGCAAAAGCUGCAGACAUGAAUUCUUUGGUGUGUAUGUCCUCAGCUGUGAGGUGCUGAGUUCAUUAAGGGACCAAUGAAACAUCA
Small nucleolar RNA from Doryrhamphus excisus (bluestripe pipefish), 132 nucleotides. RefSeq annotates it as small nucleolar RNA SNORA70. The record is from RefSeq and is a predicted model, not a curated record. NCBI's taxonomy places the organism in Eukaryota, Metazoa, Chordata, Actinopteri, Syngnathiformes, Syngnathidae.